RNAcentral lists this ribosomal RNA (627 nucleotides) under Galbibacter orientalis. RNAcentral describes it as "bacterial SSU rRNA". It matches the Rfam family "Bacterial small subunit ribosomal RNA", at positions 100 to 726 of the family's 1533-position model. Lineage: Bacteria; Pseudomonadati; Bacteroidota; Flavobacteriia; Flavobacteriales; Flavobacteriaceae. The record is from RNAcentral.
CACGGGUGCGUAACGCGUAUGCAACCUACCUUUUACAAAGGGAUAGCCCGGAGAAAUUCGGAUUAAUACCUUAUAGUAUUGUUGAUAAUCAUUUAUUAACAAUUAAAGUUUCGGCGGUAAAAGAUGGGCAUGCGUCCUAUUAACUAGAUGGAGUGGUAACGGCACCCCAUGGCAACGAUAGGUAGGGGUCCUGAGAGGGAGAUCCCCCACACUGGUACUGAGACACGGACCACACUCCUACGGGAGGCAGCAGUGAGGAAUAUUGGACAAUGGACGCAAGUCUGAUCCAGCCAUGCCGCGUGCAGGAAGACGGCCCUAUGGGUUGUAAACUGCUUUUAUACAAGAAGAAUAAGACUUACGUGUAAGUUGAUGACGGUAUUGUAUGAAUAAGCACCGGCUAACUCCGUGCCAGCAGCCGCGGUAAUACGGAGGGUGCAAGCGUUAUCCGGAAUCAUUGGGUUUAAAGGGUCCGUAGGCGGGCUAAUAAGUCAGGGGUGAAAGUUUGCAGCUCAACUGUAAAAUUGCCUUUGAUACUGUUAGUCUUGAAUUAGUAGGAAGUGGUUAGAAUAAGUAGUGUAGCGGUGAAAUGCAUAGAUAUUACUUAGAAUACCGAUUGCGAAGGCAGAU